Molecule: ribosomal RNA, 350 nt
Filed under: uncultured Nitrospirota bacterium
Lineage: Bacteria; Pseudomonadati; Nitrospirota
Description: bacterial SSU rRNA
Rfam family: Bacterial small subunit ribosomal RNA
Source: RNAcentral
UAGAGUUUGAUCCUGGCUCAGAACGAACGCUGGCGGCGUGCCUAAUACAUGCAAGUCGAACGAGAAAGUGUAGCAAUACAUUAGUACAGUGGCAGACGGGUGAGGAAUACAUAGGUAACCUUCCCCUAAGAUGGGAAUAACCUUCCGAAAGGAGGGCUAAUACCAAAUGAGACCACAGGGACUACGGUCCUCGGGGUUAAAGAUGACCUCUAUUUAUAAGUUAUCGCUUAGGGAUGGGCUUAUGCACCAUCAGGUAGUUGGUAAGGUAACGGCUUACCAAGCCUUUGACGGUUAGCUGAUCUGAGAGGUUGAUCAGCCACACUGGAACUGAGACACGGUCCAGACUCCUA